AUGGGUGUAGCUCAGUGGUAGAGCAUAUGCUUAGCAUGCUUAAGGCCUUGGGUUUGAUCCCCAACACCCAAC
RNAcentral lists this transfer RNA (72 nucleotides) under Dipodomys ordii (Ord's kangaroo rat). It matches the Rfam family "tRNA". From Rfam's summary of the family: Transfer RNA (tRNA) molecules are approximately 80 nucleotides in length. Their secondary structure includes four short double-helical elements and three loops (D, anti-codon, and T loops). The record is from Rfam by way of RNAcentral. Lineage: Eukaryota; Metazoa; Chordata; Mammalia; Rodentia; Heteromyidae.